This 682-nucleotide ribosomal RNA is filed under the name uncultured Bacilli bacterium. RNAcentral describes it as "bacterial SSU rRNA". It matches the Rfam family "Bacterial small subunit ribosomal RNA", at positions 70 to 724 of the family's 1533-position model. The record is from RNAcentral. Lineage: Bacteria; Bacillati; Bacillota; Bacilli.
UCUUUUUCCACCGGAGCUUGCUCCACCGGAAAAAGAGGAGUGGCGAACGGGUGAGUAACACGUGGGUAACCUGCCCAUCAGAAGGGGAUAACACUUGGAAACAGGUGCUAAUACCGUAUAACAAUCGAAACCGCAUGGUUUUGAUUUGAAAGGCGCUUUCGGGUGUCGCUGAUGGAUGGACCCGCGGUGCAUUAGCUAGUUGGUGAGGUAACGGCUCACCAAGGCCACGAUGCAUAGCCGACCUGAGAGGGUGAUCGGCCACAUUGGGACUGAGACACGGCCCAAACUCCUACGGGAGGCAGCAGUAGGGAAUCUUCGGCAAUGGACGAAAGUCUGACCGAGCAACGCCGCGUGAGUGAAGAAGGUUUUCGGAUCGUAAAACUCUGUUGUUAGAGAAGAACAAGGAUGAGAGUAACUGUUCAUCCCUUGACGGUAUCUAACCAGAAAGCCACGGCUAACUACGUGCCAGCAGCCGCGGUAAUACGUAGGUGGCAAGCGUUGUCCGGAUUUAUUGGGCGUAAAGCGAGCGCAGGCGGUUUCUUAAGUCUGAUGUGAAAGCCCCCGGCUCAACCGGGGAGGGUCAUUGGAAACUGGGAGACUUGAGUGCAGAAGAGGAGAGUGGAAUUCCAUGUGUAGCGGUGAAAUGCGUAGAUAUAUGGAGGAACACCAGUGGCGAAGGCGG